GUCCAGAGUUCCAUGUGCUUGAAUAGCUGCCCCCCCCCUUCUGGGGACCUUAUAAAUACUUCUAGACUUAGAGCCUAGCAGGCCGAGGUGGGUGUGCCCUUGAUGGUUGUAACCAGACCUGCUCCAGUGCUCUCCUGUCUCCUACUUGCCAUGAUGAAACAUUCAGGUGCCAUGUCUUCCCACCAUGAAGUAUUUCCUGAAAGUGUGAGCCAAAGCAGACCUUUCUUUCCCCCGUGGACUUUUCCUCUGUCAAGUACUCUGUCACAGUGCUGAGGUACCAAUGACUUCUCACAAAGGCCAUGUCUGCCAAAGACCAAGCACACUGGAGCAACCCCUGGACCCUCAGGCUCCUUGACCAGUUACUAGUGAGAGAGUUCAGAUACCUUCAGGCUUUCAGAAACUACAGCACUUGAGACAGUGCCAACAAUACAGCCAGAGUGGAGACGUGAGCUGUGGGGUAAGAGGACACUGGGCACCAUGUGAAGACCUGUCUGCACACAGCCUCUGAGAAGUCCCCUAGCCACCCACCUCCGUCCUGGCAUCCUCCAAACACAGAUGAGAAUUAAGACCCAGAGUCCUGGGUUUGGGAACAAAACGAUGGUGACUCCAGACGACAAUCCCAACACUCAAGAUGCUACUACAGGAGGACUGCUGCAAGUUCAAGCCUGCCUAGCCACAGCAACAGUGAGUUCCAGAC
This 697-nucleotide long non-coding RNA is filed under the name Mus musculus (house mouse). Its description in RNAcentral is "predicted gene, 31323". Lineage: Eukaryota; Metazoa; Chordata; Mammalia; Rodentia; Muridae. The record is from RNAcentral.